CUGACAAGGAAGUUUUGCAACCGAAUUUACAGCUGGAGUCAAGCUUGUCAGUGAGGGCCAGAGGGGAACUGUCGCAAUCCACUGGUUAAGUAUGCAUUUAAUAGUGUUUAUCCAAGCAAGUUUGUGAUUUCUUCACUCUCUCCAACAAAUAUGUUAUUUGUAAUACCUAUCUUCUCUAAUCUAGGUGUUUGAAAAAUGUCUCUAACGUGUGUGGGCUAGAAGACAUUUUGUUUUUCUGUGGGUUUAUUCAUUUAACAAGGGCAGUGUUUGAGGAACUAUCAAAAACUGCUUGUCAUCUUUCCAGAUCACCUCUCUCUGCAGUGACCAUGACUUAAUCCAGAAGGAAAACAAGCCCAGCUCUUCACUCUUGUCCUCUUAUCGAUCUGCCAUCCUACUGGCUUAAACCUAGAUGAUUCUUAUAAGGGGGCCACUCUGCUGAAUAUAGCCGGCUGUUAUUGAUGGUUACUACUUUGGAGCUACAGUUCUACCAGAUCAUCCAUCCCAGAAACCAAAUCAAUAAGACAUGGAAUCUUCAUCAGUCAAGAGCCAAGUACUUUGAAGUAUUCAUACAUACCAGCUGGGAGAAACAUACCACUGCUACACUUAAACCUAAACACGUGGACUGCAUGAUAUUACUGGCAAAUUGGAUAUAUUAAGGUUCACAAUUUCUCGGAGCUAACUGUGUGUAUUUAGGCAAUUUUUA
Molecule: long non-coding RNA, 703 nt
Filed under: Mustela putorius furo (domestic ferret)
Lineage: Eukaryota; Metazoa; Chordata; Mammalia; Carnivora; Mustelidae
Description: lncRNA (ENSMPUG00000027352.1)
Source: RNAcentral